This 252-nucleotide ribosomal RNA is filed under the name uncultured bacterium. Its description in RNAcentral is "partial 16S ribosomal RNA". It matches the Rfam family "Bacterial small subunit ribosomal RNA", at positions 524 to 775 of the family's 1533-position model. The record is from RNAcentral.
UACGUAGGGUGCAAGCGUUAAUCGGAAUUACUGGGCGUAAAGCGUGCGCAGGCGGUGAUGUAAGACAGGUGUGAAAUCCCCGGGCUUAACCUGGGAACUGCAUUUGUGACUGCAUCGCUGGAGUGCGGCAGAGGGGGAUGGAAUUCCGCGUGUAGCAGUGAAAUGCGUAGAUAUGCGGAGGAACACCGAUGGCGAAGGCAAUCCCCUGGGCCUGCACUGACGCUCAUGCACGAAAGCGUGGGGAGCAACGGG